Molecule: transfer RNA, 73 nt
Filed under: Pelodiscus sinensis (Chinese soft-shelled turtle)
Lineage: Eukaryota; Metazoa; Chordata; Testudines; Trionychidae
Rfam family: tRNA
About the family: Transfer RNA (tRNA) molecules are approximately 80 nucleotides in length.
Source: Rfam by way of RNAcentral
GUCCAAGUGGCCCAAUGGAUAAGUCAUUAGCCUUCUAAGCCAAUGAUUGUGAGUUCACGUCCCACCUAGGGUA